Molecule: microRNA precursor, 92 nt
Organism: Laticauda laticaudata (blue-ringed sea krait)
Lineage: Eukaryota; Metazoa; Chordata; Lepidosauria; Squamata; Elapidae
Product: microRNA 1306
Source: Ensembl
CAACGAACAGCCUCCACCACCUCCCCUGCAAACGUCCAGUGACGCAGAGGUAAUGGACGUUAGCUCCGGUGGUGAUGGACAGUCAGAUACCC